Molecule: ribosomal RNA, 306 nt
Filed under: uncultured Peredibacter sp.
Lineage: Bacteria; Pseudomonadati; Bdellovibrionota; Bacteriovoracia; Bacteriovoracales; Bacteriovoracaceae
Description: bacterial SSU rRNA
Rfam family: Bacterial small subunit ribosomal RNA
Source: RNAcentral
GACAGGUGCUGCAUGGCUGUCGUCAGCUCGUGUUGUGAAAUGUUGGGUUAAGUCCCGCAACGGGCGCAACCCCUAUCUUUAGUUGCCAGCAUUAAGUUGGGCACUCUAGAGAGACUGCCUGGGUUAACCAGGAGGAAGGUGGGGAUGACGUCAAGUCCUCAUGGCCCUUAUGUCCAGGGCUACACACGUGAUACAAUGGUGCAUACAAAGGGAAGCGACCUGGUGACAGUGAGCAAAUCUCAAAAAGUGCAUCUCAGUCCGGAUUGGAGUCUGCAACUCGACUCCAUGAAGUUGGAAUCGCUAGUA